Cloeon dipterum is the source of this 580-nucleotide long non-coding RNA. RefSeq lists it as uncharacterized. The record is from RefSeq and is a predicted model, not a curated record. The transcript has 2 exons. Lineage: Eukaryota; Metazoa; Arthropoda; Insecta; Ephemeroptera; Baetidae.
UAAAUGCGAUUGAAUAAAUUAAUUUCUUAACACAAAGAGUCUUAUUUAAUGCUACCGAUAAACGGGCAAAUAUGAAAAUAAUGGUCAGAAGGACAAAAAAGGGUUAAAAGGGCGAUUUUAGUGUGCGCGUGGUAGCGGCGGCUGCACAUGCAUGCACGCACUUGCAUGGAAUGUGGAAUGCCUGCUGCUGCUGCCUGCCUCUGUUGUGGAGCGGGGGAGGGGCGACGGGCGGUGGCAGCAGCAAGCGCAGCAAGAGACUUACAAAAUCCUGCCUCGCUCUCUUUGUCCAACGCGUCAACGGUCAACCGCCGUUCAAAGUUAAAGUUAUUAACGGACGCAGGACGCCGGACGCCGCCAGUAAGGGACAACACGGACGUCCCGCAGACUUGGACGGAUGGCCUGGAUCUGGCGGUUAACAGGCUUCAAGCCGUCCGCAGCUGUUUUGCACGACGGGAAAAGAUACAAUCGUUUAAGUUCUGCAGUUUGGGCUUCAAGAUUGGCGGUGCUGGCAUCGAAUGAGAGAAAAUUUUGUACCUGAUAUGAUUAAAAACAAAUAAAUUUUAAAAAUUUAACUGAAUAA